GAGAGAGAGAGAGAGAGAGAGAGAGAGAGAGACAGAGAGACAGAGAGACAGAGAGACAGAGAGACAGAGAGACAGAGAGACAGAGAGACAGAGAGAGAGAGAGACAGAGAGACAGAGAGAGAGAGAGAGAGAGAGAGAGAGAGAGAGAGAGAGAGAGAGAGAGAUGGCGUGUGUAUGAGUGGUUGAGUGGCCAACAUAUAACCUGCCACUGGGUGCAUUUUUGGACAGACUGCACACCUCUGGACGACUACUGUUUCAGACUGAUAGCAGCACCGCAGACCCUCAUCAUCAGACAGACACAGGACACUGAUCCAAUCUUGGCAAAAAUGAGCUUGGCUCGGAUCCACGAUAAACACAAGCUAAAGAAAUACUGGGAGGAGAAAAUCGAAAGUCACGGCGAUAUGAUGGGCAGUGAGGAAUCCAGAAUGAAGAGCAGUGCUUUAUCAAAGCUGCGGGACGAGUGGCUCAGGAGGCUGAAGCUUCGGGAACCAACCACAACUGGAGAGUUUCGAAGAGAAACACAUCAGGAGGGCCAAGAUGUCCCAACAGGCCGUCAAGAUACCCAGUCGAUGAUAUUCGAAUCUACAUCGUUCUAAGCCAUCUGACUGAGGUCAUGAUACGUGGAUUAGCCUGGGUGCCAUCUCUGUUCAGAUACUAUAUUCCACUCAUUGCAACUCCUGUCAUUUUCCAAAGACAAUCUUUGGCAAAUGACAGGAGUGACAAGGAGUGGAAUAUUAGCUAAAAAAGACUGGGGGACUCAGACUGAUGAUGUAGGGCUAACUAGGACUAGCUUCUCCAUUUCAGAUGAUGACAUUAAGACUAUAGAUUGAGGGGAAAUACUGUAACUGAAGUGAAGUUUACUUCUUGUGAGGGAGACGGUAUGGCAGAGAGUCAAAUGGAUGGGAUGUCGCCGAAUGAUUAGUUGCAGAGCCAUGCUGUACAGACUUUGUCAUUAACACUCAUUUUGUAGUUUUGAGGCGACCAUCUGUUGUGCAGUAAAAUAAGUGCCGGGGAGUAUGUGAAGACUUGACUGUACAUCAGAGUGACAGUCGUGGUGACAGGUGGGGUAAGUAUAUUCAUUGUUUUACUUUGUUCGGAGUGUCGGAGAAAUAUACAACGUGAUCGGGAGGAAACAUGAUUGACAGAAUGAUUGACAGAAUAGGAUUGACAGAAGAUUGACAGAACAUGUGAAGUUUUUUUCAAGAAAGAAAAGUAUGGAAAGUACAGAGAAACCGUAGAAAUGUGUCAAUGUCCCAAUUUCCGGGCUUGAAUAUAAAUAGAAUUUCAUAAUGUUUAACAUAAUUUCUCUGUGUGAUUAUUGCAUUAUUCUGUGUAGAAUUCAACUCCAGACUCAGUGGCAACAUUGAGAGAGGGGCAAGCAUCUAUUCUGAGGCAUUUGAAAUUGAAAGAACUCCUCUGAGUAAAUAAAAAUGCAUGUGGACAGUU
Salvelinus fontinalis (brook trout) is the source of this 1446-nucleotide long non-coding RNA. RefSeq lists it as uncharacterized. Lineage: Eukaryota; Metazoa; Chordata; Actinopteri; Salmoniformes; Salmonidae. The record is from RefSeq and is a predicted model, not a curated record. The transcript has 3 exons.